Molecule: non-coding RNA, 509 nt
Organism: Camellia sinensis
Lineage: Eukaryota; Viridiplantae; Streptophyta; Magnoliopsida; Ericales; Theaceae
Source: RefSeq, a predicted model, not a curated record
CAGACAUCUAACAGCAAUCUGUUUAGGAAACUUGUAGGUGAUUGGAGCUGUAGGGUUCAUGAACCAACAAUUAGAGAUCCCCAAAGACGUGGAUCCACAAUGGACCUCUAUAAUUGAGAGCUGUUGGCACAGCGAGCCACAGUUGCGACCGUCAUUCCAUGAAUUGAUGGAAAAGCUAAAGGAUCUGCAGAAACACUACGCCGUUCAAAUUCAGGCCACCCGUUCUGCUGCAGGAGAUAGGCAAAAGGAAUUGUAGGAUGCUGGGGCUCGAGUUUGACUUGUGUUGCUGGCUGGUAGUUGAAUUGUGUCUAGUUCUGUUGGUGUUGUUAGUUCAUGUUAUAGAGAUAAUUUGUCAUUCACCUCAGUGGUAUUUCAUGCCAUUGAGACCAUUUUGUUAUUCAUUUGUGCUCUUUAGGAGAACUAUGAGUUGAGAACAGGGAAGAACAUUUGUACAUACACCACACCAUUUGCCAUAUUGUGCUGUAAAAUUUUUUGAAACAUUUUCUCAA